RNAcentral lists this ribosomal RNA (119 nucleotides) under Scophthalmus maximus (turbot). Lineage: Eukaryota; Metazoa; Chordata; Actinopteri; Pleuronectiformes; Scophthalmidae. The record is from RNAcentral.
GCUUACGGCCACACCGGUGGUUCACGCCCGAUCUCGUUUGAUCUCGGAAGCUAAGAUAGGGUUGGGCCUGGUUAGUACUUGGAUGGGAGACCGCCUGGGAAUACUAGGUGCUGUAAGCU